AGUGAACGCUGGCGGUAGGCCUAACACAUGCAAGUCGAACGGCAGCACAGUACGAGCUUGCCCUUACGGGAGCCGAGUGGCGGACGGGUGAGGAAUACAUCGGCACCUACUUUUUCGUGGGGGAUAAUGUAGCGAAACUUACGCUUAUACCUCAUACGACCUACGGGUGAAAGCAGGGGAUCUUCGGACCUUGCGCGAUUGAGUGAGCCGAUGUCGGAUUGGCUAGUUGGCGGGGUUAAGGCCCCCACAGGCGGCGAUCCGUAGCUGGUCUGAGAGGAUGGUCGGCGACACGGGAGGGUGGACACGGUCCAUACUACUACGGGAGGGAGCAGUGUGCAAUAUUAGACAAUAGGCGGAAGCCUUGUCCAGUGGGACCGCGUGGGUUGAGACGGCCUUCGGGUUGUAAAGACCGUUUGUUGGUAAAGAAAAGCAUCAGGCUAAUACCCCGCUGUUGUGACGGUACCCAAAGAAUAAGCACCGGCUAACUUCGUG
This 492-nucleotide ribosomal RNA is filed under the name uncultured bacterium. RNAcentral's name for it is "partial 16S ribosomal RNA". It matches the Rfam family "Bacterial small subunit ribosomal RNA", at positions 29 to 507 of the family's 1533-position model. The record is from RNAcentral.